UGAACUUUUGUAAAAUUGGGUUGUUAUUUUUGAUUUUACAGAUUCGAUCCAAAUUUUCAAUAAACUAACCAAAAUACCUUUAUUAUUUUUUCUCUUUUCUCUUUUUUUUUUCCUCGUUCUUUUUUUCUCUCUUUACGACCGUCGCUCCGACAGCAUCGGCGAUGCGGCGCUGGCGGCCGUGGCCCUCUGCUGUCCCGCCCUCCGUAAGCUCUCUGUUGCCUCCUGCUCCUACGGCGUCCCGUGCAUCCUCGCCGUCGUACGUAGAUGCCCGCUCCUCAAGGAGCUCUCCCUCAAGCGCCCCCGCGGCCUUGACUCCCCGCUCCUCGUCCUCACUCCGAUCCAUCUGGUGGUGAAUAAUGAAAAGUAAACAAAGAUGCAGAGGAUAGAAAAAAAAAUAAAAAAUAAAAAAAUAAAAAAAUUUGUCUCUUUGAAAAAUUAUUAUGUAAUGUUACUAUUAUCGGACAAGGCCAAAAUUCAGAUAAAAAGAAAGAAGAAGAGCAAAAAAUCAGAGAAAAAGGAAAAAAAAGAUGAAUGUUGCACUGUUAAAAUUAAAUUGCACUAUUUUUAAAAAAAAAUUACACUGUUUAAGAUGAAUGUUAUACUCUUUAAAAUAAAAAUUACACUAUUUCGCCAAAUUUUAUACUAUUUCACCCAAAAUUGCACCGUUUCUCCUUCUCCUCCUCUUCCUCUUCCUUCUUUUUUUUUACACCAUUACAC
RNAcentral lists this long non-coding RNA (717 nucleotides) under Ananas comosus (pineapple). RNAcentral describes it as "long non-coding RNA (ACOM_LNC006215)". The record is from RNAcentral. Lineage: Eukaryota; Viridiplantae; Streptophyta; Magnoliopsida; Poales; Bromeliaceae.